This 207-nucleotide ribosomal RNA is filed under the name uncultured bacterium. RNAcentral's name for it is "partial 16S ribosomal RNA". It matches the Rfam family "Bacterial small subunit ribosomal RNA", at positions 568 to 774 of the family's 1533-position model. The record is from RNAcentral.
CUCGUAGGCGGUUUGUCGCGUCUGCUGUGAAAUCCGGAGGCUCAACCUCCGGCCUGCAGUGGGUACGGGCAGACUAGAGUGCGGUAGGGGAGAUUGGAAUUCCUGGUGUAGCGGUGGAAUGCGCAGAUAUCAGGAGGAACACCAAUGGCGAAGGCAGAUCUCUGGGCCGUAAUUGACGCUGAGGAGCGAAAGCAUGGGGAGCGAACA